This 452-nucleotide long non-coding RNA is filed under the name Pan troglodytes (chimpanzee). Its description in RNAcentral is "long non-coding RNA NONPTRT005028". Lineage: Eukaryota; Metazoa; Chordata; Mammalia; Primates; Hominidae. The record is from RNAcentral.
AUAAUCUUUCUUUCUCUUUCCAUCUUGUAUGGAUAUGACAAGAAAAUGGCUAUGCGACCCAGGAGGAUAGCCUUCAUGAAGAACCUCACCAUGCUGGUACCUUGAUCUUGGAUUUCCAGCCUCCAGACUGUACAUCAUACACAAUAGAACUGCUGUCCCCCAAAGCAAGCCAUAAAAUCUAGGAAAACUAUCUGACUCUCUCUUCUCCUCCCUGAAGACCCUUACAUGACAAGUGUCGUGCCCUAUACCCAGAAGAAGAAAUGCUACACAGAGAGGCCAAGAAAAAUCUGAACACACAGGACUUGUUGGAAUUCCCCUCAAGUUAUUAUCAUUACAUCAUGCCUUUUUUGUCCAGUCAUAUUUCUACACAGCUGUCCAUUCUUCAUUGAACCUAAGCUUAAGAAUAUGCACUUCUCCUUGGAUCUCUGGGUCUUCAUUUCUGAGUGCUCCCG